CCAAUUUAAAGAAUUUAGCCGUUUAAGUUUACUCUACUUUUUAUUUAUUUAUUUAUUUAUUUUCAUCAUCAUUAUCUCGUCCAUUAUAUUGAGAUAUAAGUAAUAUAACCCAAAUUGUGUGUGGCUCAAGCCCAAAAUUAGUUAGGGUUUAGAAUUUGUUAUAUUAGUUAUUUAGUAGGCAAAUCACUUAUUAUAUAUAAAUAGAUACUUUGUAAUUCAGGUUUGUAACAUAAUCG
This 236-nucleotide long non-coding RNA is filed under the name Lathyrus oleraceus (garden pea). Its description in RNAcentral is "Pisum sativum (pea) long non-coding RNA (PSAT_LNC025931)". The record is from RNAcentral. Lineage: Eukaryota; Viridiplantae; Streptophyta; Magnoliopsida; Fabales; Fabaceae.